This is a non-coding RNA of Maylandia zebra (zebra mbuna), 323 nucleotides long. The record is from RefSeq and is a predicted model, not a curated record. NCBI's taxonomy places the organism in Eukaryota, Metazoa, Chordata, Actinopteri, Cichliformes, Cichlidae.
CUGUAAUCUGGUUGAGACUACUUGAGGAGAUCUUAGUAGCGAGUAUGUGGAUUUAGUCUCUUCACCAACAGCAGACAGACCCAUGCCAAGAAAGCAGACAUGUUCUCAAAGAAAGCCGAGAGCAGAGAUUGGAAAAAGCUAAAAAGAAAAAGCUGCAGCUUCAGACGACUAUCUGCCUAUGUUGACUGUGACCUCAGAGGCCAACUGGACCACACAGCUGCAGCAGGAGUGAGGGAGAGGAGUCUUCAUCCAGCUUCAAAGAAAACAUCCAGUUAGAAACCCUGCAGCAACCCGACCCAAAACUGUGUCUUCUUGUUGGCCUC